Molecule: unclassified non-coding RNA, 217 nt
Filed under: Rhizophagus clarus
Lineage: Eukaryota; Fungi; Glomeromycota; Glomeromycetes; Glomerales; Glomeraceae
Description: partial contains 5.8S ribosomal RNA and internal transcribed spacer 2
Rfam family: 5.8S ribosomal RNA (bases 1-71)
Source: RNAcentral
GUGAAUCAUCGAAUUUUUGAACGCAAAUUGCACUCUCUGGUAUUCCGGAGAGUAUGCCUGUUUGAGGGUCAGUAUAAUCAAAAUCUGAGCGAUUCCUUUUGGGUGAAGCACCGGAGUUUGUGUCAUCUUAACUCUUUCAGAGACCUAAAAUUAACCUUCUUUUUUUUGCUCACUCUUAGACGUACAUAAUUUUUUUUAUACGUAUACCUUCGUCGCA